This 429-nucleotide ribosomal RNA is filed under the name Bacteroidota bacterium. RNAcentral describes it as "Bacteroidetes bacterium partial 16S ribosomal RNA". It matches the Rfam family "Bacterial small subunit ribosomal RNA", at positions 355 to 776 of the family's 1533-position model. The record is from RNAcentral. Lineage: Bacteria; Pseudomonadati; Bacteroidota.
UAGGGAAUCUUCCGCAAUGGACGCAAGUCUGACGGAGCAACGCCGCGUGAGUGAAGAAGGAUUUCGGUUCGUAAAACUCUGUUGUUAGAGAAGAACAGCGCAUAGAGUAACUGUUAUGCGUGUGACGGUAUCUAACCAGAAAGCCACGGCUAACUACGUGCCAGCAGCCGCGGUAAUACGUAGGUGGCAAGCGUUGUCCGGAUUUAUUGGGCGUAAAGCGAGCGCAGGCGGUCAAUUAAGUCUGAUGUGAAAGCCCCCGGCUCAACCGGGGAGGGGCAUUGGAAACUGGUUGGCUUGAGUGCAGAAGAGGAGGGUGGAAUUCCAUGUGUAGCGGUGAAAUGCGUAGAUAUAUGGAGGAACACCAGUGGCGAAGGCGACUCUCUGGUCUGUAACUGACGCUGAGGCUCGAAAGCGUGGGUAGCAAACAGG